Molecule: long non-coding RNA, 379 nt
Filed under: Fukomys damarensis (Damara mole-rat)
Lineage: Eukaryota; Metazoa; Chordata; Mammalia; Rodentia; Bathyergidae
Description: lncRNA (ENSFDAG00000026743.1)
Source: RNAcentral
UGACAGGGCCUUGCUCUGCAGCCCAGGGUGAUCUUGAAUUUGUGAUUCUCCUGUCUCAGCCUCCCAAGUGCUUCAAUUACAAGCAUGGACCAUCAUGCCCAACACUAUAUUUAAAGUCAAGAUUUUCUUCUUUGAGCCUGUCACCUCAAGAUCACAACAGGGCCGCCGCUUCUCAGGCACAACAUUUUCAUAAAGGCACAGGAGAAGAUCUCAAAUACAGAAAAGGCAAUGUCGCUAAAGUUCUAAUUCAAACUUUCACAUUACUUAUAAGGUGAGUUAUAAAUUAUUGCCCAGAAGUAGUAAAUGCUGAUCUUUUAAAUAUGCAAAAUGCAAAAUCCAAAAAAAAAAACUAGAAACUGAUUUAGUAUAUGGAAGCUGG